AUGGAUGUCUAUCCUAGACGGUGGAUCACUCGGCUCGUGGAUCGAUGAAGGACGCAGCAAACUGCGCGUCAAAGUGUGAACUGCAGGACACAUGAACAUUGAUGUUUCGAACGCACAUUGCGGCCCACGGAUCCUGUUCCCGGGCCACGCCUGGCUGAGGGCCGGC
RNAcentral lists this ribosomal RNA (166 nucleotides) under Macrogomphus parallelogramma. Its description in RNAcentral is "5.8S ribosomal RNA". It matches the Rfam family "5.8S ribosomal RNA". From Rfam's summary of the family: 5.8S ribosomal RNA (5.8S rRNA) is a component of the large subunit of the eukaryotic ribosome. It is transcribed by RNA polymerase I as part of the 45S precursor that also contains 18S and 28S rRNA. Lineage: Eukaryota; Metazoa; Arthropoda; Insecta; Odonata; Gomphidae. The record is from RNAcentral.